This 453-nucleotide ribosomal RNA is filed under the name uncultured Porphyromonadaceae bacterium. RNAcentral's name for it is "partial 16S ribosomal RNA". It matches the Rfam family "Bacterial small subunit ribosomal RNA", at positions 341 to 792 of the family's 1533-position model. The record is from RNAcentral. Lineage: Bacteria; Pseudomonadati; Bacteroidota; Bacteroidia; Bacteroidales; Porphyromonadaceae.
ACGGGAGGCAGCAGUGAGGAAUAUUGGUCAAUGGUCGGAAGACUGAACCAGCCAUGCCGCGUGAAGGUUACGGUCCUAUGGAUUUUAAACUUCUUUUGACGCAGAGCAAUAAGGUCUACGUGUAGAUUGAUGAGAGUAUGCGUUGAAUAAGCAUCGGCUAACUCCGUGCCAGCAGCCGCGGUAAUACGGAGGAUGCAAGCGUUAUCCGGAUUUAUUGGGUUUAAAGGGUGCGUAGGCGGUUGGGUAAGUCAGCGGUGAAAUGUAUAUGCUUAACAUAUAACGUGCCGUUGAUACUGUCCGACUCGAAUGCGGAUGCCGUGGGAGGAAUGUGUGGUGUAGCGGUGAAAUGCAUAGAUAUCACACAGAACACCGAUUGCGAAGGCAUCUCACGAAUCCGCUAUUGACGCUGAGGCACGAAAGUGUGGGGAUCAAACAGGAUUAGAUACCCUGGUA